AAUUAAAUAAAAGUUAAGGUAGUAAAAUAUUUUAAAACCUAAAUAUAAUGGCGGUCUCAUUAACUUAAAGAAACUCGCUUUAUAAUCGACAACACCCGAUAAAUUUCACUCAUUUUAAUAGUUUAUAUACCGCCGUUUCACGAAUACAACAUAAUUUAAUAUUCUUAAUCUCACAAACAAAACAAAAAUCAGGUCAAGGUGUAACCAUAUAAAUAAGAAAAAGUAAGUUACAUUAAAAAUAAUUUUAAGGCAAAAAAAUUAACUAUUAAUUAAAAAAAGAAUUUAUAAGUACAAUCAAAUUAAAAAUUAAAAUAGAAUAUAAAAAUUAAGACGU
Molecule: ribosomal RNA, 334 nt
Filed under: Spermophora tonkoui
Lineage: Eukaryota; Metazoa; Arthropoda; Arachnida; Araneae; Pholcidae
Description: partial 12S ribosomal RNA
Source: RNAcentral